GGCAGAACGAAACGGCAUGGUUCCUCGCAAGGGCGCAAAGCGUCCGAGGAUGAAUUGGGAAUGCGGAACGGGACGACCCAUAUCGGGGCCCUAGCCGCAGCCGCCCCCGCGACUGUAAGCGGAGAGCGCAGUGCCAUACGCCACUGGGACACCGGGAAGGCGGCACAAGGCGCGAUGACCCGCAAGCCAGGAGACCAGCCGUGCGUAACAUGGUAAC
Non-coding RNA from Pseudooceanicola atlanticus, 217 nucleotides. The record is from Rfam. NCBI's taxonomy places the organism in Bacteria, Pseudomonadati, Pseudomonadota, Alphaproteobacteria, Rhodobacterales, Paracoccaceae.